GAACGAACGCUGGCGGCAUGCCUAACACAUGCAAGUCGAACGAGACCUUCGGGUCUAGUGGCGCACGGGUGCGUAACACGUGGGAAUUUGCCUCGGGGUAUGGAAUAACUCAGGGAAACUUGAGCUAAUACCAUAUAAUGUUUCGGACCAAAGAUUUAUCGCCCUGAGAUAAGCCCGCGUAGGAUUAGCUAGUUGGUGGGGUAAAGGCUCACCAAGGCGACGAUCCUUAGCUGGUCUGAGAGGAUGACCAGCCACACUGGGACUGAGACACGGCCCAGACUCCUACGGGAGGCAGCAGUGGGGGAAUAUUGGACAAUGGGCGAAAGCCUGAUCCAGCAAUGCCGCGUGAGUGAUGAAGGCCUUCGGGUUGUAAAGCUCUUUUACUCGGGACGAUAAUGACGGUACCGAGAGAAUAAGCCCCGGCUAACUCCGUG
This 434-nucleotide ribosomal RNA is filed under the name uncultured bacterium. RNAcentral describes it as "bacterial SSU rRNA". It matches the Rfam family "Bacterial small subunit ribosomal RNA", at positions 27 to 507 of the family's 1533-position model. The record is from RNAcentral.